CAAAAUUCCUAAAACCUGCCUAAACAGUUAGUACAACUCUAAUUGGUCAAAAUCGCACACUCAAGAGCAUGCCAUUUCACCCAAACAUCCAAGAAAGUAUGGCCACGAACAAGAAGCCCAAGAAACCAUUAUUCAACCUUCAACGGUUCAACCCAACCUUGCCAUUACCCUCUUAUUCAUUAUUGUGUUCACAAUUCCAGCUCUUCUUCUCCUUCACGCGGUCACACCCCAUCAACUUCGAUUUGUACCUUUUCAUCUAACAAUAAGGCAUGGUCGGUAGAUCUUCAGAACGCAGAAUUCGCGUGGAAUCAUCUAAAAUUCUCUGACGAAGAGUCCCCAUUAAGGAGUCUAAAAAUCGCGGUCUUCUCUGGGAAUGGCCUACGAGCAUCAUCCCCGGUGGCAUGGAACGCCACGCGUAUACGCUGCACACAGCUCUAGCACAACGGGGACAUCAAGUGCACGUCUGCACUUAACCCCCUCUUGGUAGUGAUACCAUUCCAACCAAUUCCAAGGAGCAAAUUCCUUCUCAAACAAGUCAUGGUUCAUCAUCAACUACAAUACACUGUCAUGAGGGCGAACCGAGCAAACGGAGAUACAACAAGGCACGGGAGCAAUUUCAAGAAGAAAAACAACACGAGCCUUUUGAUGUAAUUCAUUCAGAAAGUGUUGCUCUCCCAUUCUGGUUGGCUCGAGAUCUACCUAAUCUCGUGGUUUCAUGGCACAGGAUUGCACUAGAAGGUGUACAAUCGAGUAUCUACCAACACUUGGCACAUCAGCCUAAUGAGCCCAUGUCCUCUCUACCUUCAACAGCCUAUAAGGAGUAAUCCCAAAAGUCUUAAACGAAAUUCGAUUUUUCAGAAAUUAUGCACACCAUGUGGCUACAAGUGAUGGUUGUAGCGAAAUGCUAAGGGACGUCCACCAAAUUCCCCCUAAACGUGUCCAUGUGAUAAUCAAUGGAGUCGAUGGGGAUGAUUUUUGUGAAGAUUUAAGAUUAGGCCAAGAAUUCAGAUCCAAAAUUGGUAUCCCACAAAAUGCUAGUAUAGUUCUAGGGGUUGAAGGAAGACUAGUGAAGGACAAAGGCCAUUCCCUUUUACACAAGGCCUAUUCAAAGCUCAAGCUAAAAUACCCCAAUGUCUACUUUUAAUCGUGGCAGGUUCUGGUCCAUGGCAACAAUUGUACAAAGAUUUAGGGCCUCAAGCGAUUGUUCUCGGAUCCAUGAAUCCAUCCGAAUUACGUGCUUUUUACAAUGCAAUCAACAUUUUUUGUUAAUACGACGCUUUGGCCACAAGGGAAUGAUAUUACACUAAUGGAGGCUAUGAUGAUUGGAAAACCAGUUAUGGCAUCAAGAUUUCCUAGUAUUAAAGGGACAAUUGUGGUUAAGGAUGAAUUUGGUAUCAUGUUUUCGCCUAAUGUCGAAUCAUUGUCCGAGGCAUUGGAAUUGAUUGUGUCUGAGGAAUCAAAUAGGCUAUUGCAGAGUGGAAAAACAUGCAGAGAAUAUGCAGCUUCUAUGUUUACUGCACGAAAACUGGCAUUGGCCUAUCAAAGAUUGUUCCUUUGCAUAAAAAAUGAAACUUUUUGUAGGUUACAUAAACUAGAUUAUAAGAUUGAUGUUCUUUUGGAAAAUAAUUCAAUAAAUUUACAUAAACUAGAUUAUAAGAUUGAUAUUCGUUUACUUUGAUCACAUUAUGUAAUAGUACUUUUGACUCGCAUAUCAAUUGUAGUACGAAUGCUUUUGGAUUUAUAAGCACGUUGAACUUCUUCUCGUUAUAAGUUAAUUUUUU
RNAcentral lists this long non-coding RNA (1781 nucleotides) under Olea europaea subsp. europaea. The record is from RNAcentral. Lineage: Eukaryota; Viridiplantae; Streptophyta; Magnoliopsida; Lamiales; Oleaceae.